ACUCCUACGGGAGGCAGCAGUGGGGAAUUUUGGACAAUGGGCGAAAGCCUGAUCCAGCAAUGCCGCGUGUGUGAAGAAGGCCUUCGGGUUGUAAAGCACUUUUGUCCGGAAAGAAAUCCUUGGCUCUAAUACAGUCGGGGGAUGACGGUACCGGAAGAAUAAGCACCGGCUAACUACGUGCCAGCAGCCGCGGUAAUACGUAGGGUGCGAGCGUUAAUCGGAAUUACUGGGCGUAAAGCGUGCGCAGGCGGUUUGCUAAGACCGAUGUGAAAUCCCCGGGCUCAACCUGGGAACUGCAUUGGUGACUGGCAGGCUAGAGUAUGGCAGAGGGGGGUAGAAUUCCACGUGUAGCAGUGAAAUGCGUAGAGAUGUGGAGGAAUACCGAUGGCGAAGGCAGCCCCCUGGGCCAAUACUGACGCUCAUGCACGAAAGCGUGGGGAGCAAACAGGAUUAGAUACCCUGGUAGUCCCAUGA
RNAcentral lists this ribosomal RNA (474 nucleotides) under uncultured organism. RNAcentral describes it as "partial 16S ribosomal RNA". It matches the Rfam family "Bacterial small subunit ribosomal RNA", at positions 335 to 800 of the family's 1533-position model. The record is from RNAcentral.